AGUGAACGCUGGCGGUAGGCCUAACACAUGCAAGUCGAACGGCAGCACAGUAAGAGCUUGCUCUUACGGGUGGCGAGUGGCGGACGGGUGAGGAAUACAUCGGAAUCUACUUUUUCGGGGGGGAUAACGUAGGGAAACUUACGCUAAUACCGCAUACGCCCUACGGGUGAAAGCAGGGGAUCUUCGGACCUUGCGCGAUUGAAUGAGCCGAUGUCGGAUUAGCUAGUUGGCGGGGUAAAGGCCCACCAAGGCGACGAUCCGUAGCUGGCCUGAGAGGAUGAUCAGCCACACUGGAACUUGGACACGGUCCAGACUCCUACGGGAGGCAGCAGUGGGGAAUAUUGGACAAUGGGCGCAAGCCUGAUCCAGCCAGACCGCGUGGGUGAAGAAGGCCUUCGGGUUGUAAAGCCCUUUUGUUGGGAAAGAAAAGCAGCAGGUUAAUACCCCGCUGUUCUGACGGUACCCAAAGAAUAAGCACCGGCUAACUUCGUG
This 492-nucleotide ribosomal RNA is filed under the name uncultured bacterium. Its description in RNAcentral is "partial 16S ribosomal RNA". It matches the Rfam family "Bacterial small subunit ribosomal RNA", at positions 29 to 507 of the family's 1533-position model. The record is from RNAcentral.